UAUAACCAAUAUUUUGAACUAAAAUUUUAAAACACCAUGUGGUCAUUUAGAAAGCACUAGCCUUCAAUAAUGUUAACUAAGUCAGCACAGCUUGAGCUCAAUUAGCACACAAUUAACCAAGUGGAAACACUCACUCACCUUCUAUACCCCUUUAUCCUGUAUUCAGGGUCACGGGGACCUGGAGCCUAUCCCACGUAGCUUAGAGCAUGAGGCAGGGUACACCCUGGACAGGGUCCCAAUCCAUCACAGGGCACACACACAUACACACCCAUUCACACACUACAGGCAAAUUGGGAAUGUCAAUUAACCUUACCUACAUGUCUUGUGGGAGGAAACCAGAACCCAGGGGAAACCCACCAAGCCCGGGGAGAACAUGCAAACUCCAUGCACAUAGAGACGGGAAUCAAACCCGGACCCUGGAGGUGCAAGGCGACAGUGCUAACCAAUACACCACCGUGCCGCCAAGUGAAAACACUAGGAGUCAAAAUUUAUCACACACCAAUCGGAAACUUUGAUUGAUAGAUAAAAGGGCCAAAGUCAGCUUAUUCACGUUUGAAAAAACAGAUACAAAGAGAUGCAAAGUAAGAGGUCGAGGAGGAGGAUGAAAUUCGAGCCACUUUAGUUGACUAUGUCCUUGUCCAUGGUAUGACUAUGAGGUCAUCUACUUAAAUAUGUGCAUAUUCCCAUUCAAUGCAUUUAGUAUUUUGUUUAGUUAAUUGCUUUGGUAUUUAUUUAUAUUAAAUAAUAAGACACCAACACCAUUCAUUUUAUUUAGAUAGAAGUGCAUCAUAUCUGGGUGGAGUGCCCACAUCCUAGUUUAUGUUGUACUGUAUAUUUUGAGUAAAUAUAAUUUUUUUCUUUGAGUUUUAGUUACCGUUGAGCUGUUGCCUGGCUGGAACUGCUGCACUGAGCUCUCACUGUGAUCCGUCAACUAAAGGUCUGGCGUGCCGCGUCAACCACAACUAUGGUUCCACCGGCUGUACCAACAUGUAGACUAACUGUGGGAGGGAAUUGGUUGUCUGCCAUUUUAUGUUUGUGUGUAUCUAUGGUAUAUGGUUUUGAUUCUUCCUUUUCUAUUUUGCUUUUUCAAUACCUGUUUAGUUUACAGUAGAUUAGUUAUUUAAUUGCUCCAUGUUUGUUAGUUGGGUUGUUUUAGUUUGUUGUGAUCUUGUGGUUCUCCUAUGUGUUUAAAAAUGGACUGGUCCAUCCUUAUAAAUGUGUUCCCAUUGUAUUGUCUCGGGUGAUUGAGGGUAGUUGUUUUCAUAGUUUUCAUAGUUUGGUUUAAGUUCUUUCUGCUGUGGUCUGUUGGAUUCAGUUAAGUUCUUCUGAGUUUAUUAGUUUAAAUUUAACUUUGAUUCUUUUGACCUUUUUAGUAGUUUAUUUGACUUGAAAGCUGAAUAUUGCUUUCUUUAAGUUAAAUGUGCAUUUUUUUGAUUUAUUAAAACUGUCAUUUGGGUGAAAGCUUGCUUUUCUACGUCCCCUCAUUUAUUUGGGCUGCAAAGGCCCUUACACUUCAGGGAGGAAAACGUGGAGCUGGAGGACACAGAAACGACCACUUGGUGGAGGCAGGUUAAGGCUUUUGUCGGAGGAGCAAGAGAGGCAGCUUGUAAACAUAGUAAUUACCAAUAAAAUAAUCUGCGAGAGAUUCAUAGGAGAGUGAAUGAGGAUGAUCGUCAUUUUCGAAGGGAUAAAUGCCAUUAACCUCUCCACAAUUGACCACAUUCUCCAAAAUAACCAAUUCUGGAUGAAACAGGCAUACCGCGUCCCUUUUAAACGAAACUCUGAUAGAGUGAAAAACCAACAAGUGGAAUAUGUUUAGAGAUUGAAGGACAGCCUGUUCCCCAUGAAAUUAUCUUUGUGGAUGAGGCAGGUUUUAACCUAACCAAAAGGAGGAGAAGGGGGAAGAACAUAAUUAGCCAUUGGGCUAUUGUAAAUGUCCCUGGUCAGCAUGGAGGGAAUGUCACUAUGUGCGCAGCCAUCAGCCAACAAGGGGUACCCCACUGCCAUGUUAUUCUAGGACCCUAUAACACUAUGCUUCUACUGUACUUGCUUUUCUUGAUGGUCUAAGACAACAUAUGUUCCAGCUGGACUACAGGGAACCAGCACAGCCAGAGUAGCCUCACUACGUCGUUUUUUGGGAUAAUGUCAGCUUCCAUUGCGCUGCUCUGGUCCAUGACUGGUUUAUCAAUAACCCAAGGUUUUCUAACAUCUUUUUUCCUGCAUACUCUCCCUUUCUAAACCCGAUAGAGGUUAUUUUUGGCAUGGCAGUGGAAAGUGUAUAACAGAGAACCUUAUGUCCAUGUUCACCUCCUCCUGGCAAUGAAAGAAGCCUGCCUAGACAUAUCAGUGAAUGCAUGCCAGGGGUGCAGGCAUGCAAGAAGAUCCUCUAACAGUUAACUUACCCCCAUAGAACUUCUAACACUCUUGUUAACCUAAUUUAUACAACAAGAAACUCUAUCAGAAUUCUCAACCAGAUCAAAAAGGUGCUCAAUAUACCUGAGACUUCAGUAAGAACCUGUAAGGGUUAACCCCUAGAGGGCGCCAAAUGCCCACUGAUUAUGUUUGUGUUUUGUAGUUUGUUUGAUUUGGACUACAUGUACCAGAAUGCAUCUCGGUCAGGUGAUAGAAGAGCGCACCUGAACCGAGUCGAAUAAUUAAGUUGAGUUAAUAUAAAUAGCCUGACUGAAGUUCAGACCCUCCCCCCCCCCUUCUUCCCACGGCAGCUUAGUUAUUUACUUUGUGUAUGUGCGCAAUCAUUUAAUUGUUAGUUUUUUGUUAUUUUUCAGGUACUGUGUGUAAUAAAUGUGUAGUUAUGUUU
Clarias gariepinus (North African catfish) is the source of this 2818-nucleotide long non-coding RNA. RefSeq lists it as uncharacterized. The transcript has 3 exons. NCBI's taxonomy places the organism in Eukaryota, Metazoa, Chordata, Actinopteri, Siluriformes, Clariidae. The record is from RefSeq and is a predicted model, not a curated record.